GUGCCAGCCGCCGCGGUAACACGUACUGUGCGAACGUUAUUCGGAAUCACUGGGCUUAAAGGGUGCGUAGGCGGCGAUACAAGUCAGGUGUGAAAUGCCGGAGCUCAACUGCGGCAUUGCGCUUGAAACUGUGUUGCUUGAGUAUUUCAGGGGUGUGGGGAACUGCCAGUGGAGCGGUGAAAUGUGUUGAUAUUGGCAGGAACACCGGAGGCGAAAGCGCCACACUGGGGAAUAACUGACGCUGAGGCACGAAAGCCAGGGGAGCGAACGGGAUUAGAUACCCCGGUAGUCCUGGCUGUAAACGAUGAGUACUGAGCGGAAGGAAGUUUACUUUUUUCUGCUGUAGUGAAAACGUUAAGUACUCCGCCUGGGGAGUAUGGUCGCAAGGCUGAA
This 393-nucleotide ribosomal RNA is filed under the name uncultured bacterium. RNAcentral's name for it is "bacterial SSU rRNA". It matches the Rfam family "Bacterial small subunit ribosomal RNA", at positions 505 to 898 of the family's 1533-position model. The record is from RNAcentral.